Molecule: unclassified non-coding RNA, 268 nt
Filed under: Hevea brasiliensis (rubber tree)
Lineage: Eukaryota; Viridiplantae; Streptophyta; Magnoliopsida; Malpighiales; Euphorbiaceae
Source: RNAcentral
CAGGAGGUCGAUUUUCAUCACCAACAUAUUGGGUGUUGUUACCAGGUAUGUGAAAACUUAUCUCCAUCAAUGAAUCUUUCUCAUUAGCUCCAGUUGUAUCAUCCACAUGGAACUCCAAGAUAACAUCAUUUUUUCCCUGUAGCUGCGUUUGUGAGACAUCUGCUAAAGAUAACUCAAAUGCUUGCUUUGAACCAACCAGAAAGGUAAGCAUAUUUCCAUUUAAAUCAACCUCUCCCCAAUUACGGCCACUAACUGAAAGUUGCUUCUC